AGAGUUUGAUCCUGGCUCAGGAUGAACGCUGGCGGCGUGCCUAAUACAUGCAAGUCGAACGCUUUGUGGUUCAACUGAUUUGAAGAGCUUGCUCAGAUAUGACGAUGGACAUUGCAAAGAGUGGCGAACGGGUGAAUAACACGUGGGAAACCUACCUCUUAGCAGGGGAUAACAUUUGGAAACAGAUGCUAAUACCGUAUAACAAUGACAACCGCAUGGUUGUUAUUUAAAAGAUGGUUCUGCUAUCACUAAGAGAUGGUCCCGCGGUGCAUUAGCUAGUUGGUAAGGUAAUGGCUUACCAAGGCGAUGAUGCAUAGCCGAGUUGAGAGACUGAUCGGCCACAAUGGGACUGAGACACGGCCCAUACUCCUACGGGAGGCAGCAGUAGGGAAUCUUCCACAAUGGGCGAAAGCCUGAUGGAGCAACGCCGCGUGUGUGAUGAAGGGUUUCGGCUCGUAAAACACUGUUGUAAGAGAAGAAUGACAUUGAGAGUAACUGUUCAAUGUGUGACGGUAUCUUACCAGAAAGGAACGGCUAAAUACGUGCCAGCAGCCGCGGUAAUACGUAUGUUCCAAGCGUUGUCCGGAUUUAUUGGGCGUAAAGCGAGCGCAGACGGUUAUUUAAGUCUGAAGUGAAAGCCCUCAGCUCAACUGAGGAAUUGCUUUGGAAACUGGAUGACUUGAGUGCAGUAGAGGAAAGUGGAACUCCAUGUGUAGCGGUGAAAUGCGUAGAUAUAUGGAAGAACACCAGUGGCGAAGGCGGCUUUCUGGACUGUAACUGACGUUGAGGCUCGAAAGUGUGGGUAGCAAACAGGAUUAGAUACCCUGGUAGUCCACACCGUAAACGAUGAGUGCUAGGUGUUUGAGGGUUUCCGCCCUUCAGUGCCGGAGCUAACGCAUUAAGCACUCCGCCUGGGGAGUACGACCGCAAGGUUGAAACUCAAAGGAAUUGACGGGGGCCCGCACAAGCGGUGGAGCAUGUGGUUUAAUUCGAAGCUACGCGAAGAACCUUACCAGGUCUUGACAUCUUGCGCCAACCCUAGAGAUAGGGCGUUUCCUUCGGGAACGCAAUGACAGGUGGUGCAUGGUCGUCGUCAGCUCGUGUCGUGAGAUGUUGGGUUAAGUCCCGCAACGAGCGCAACCCUUAUUACUAGUUGCCAGCAUUAAGUUGGGCACUCUAGUGAGACUGCCGGUGACAAACCGGAGGAAGGUGGGGACGACGUCAGAUCAUCAUGCCCCUUAUGACCUGGGCUACACACGUGCUACAAUGGACGGUACAACGAGCAGCGAACUCGCGAGGGCAAGCAAAUCUCUUAAAACCGUUCUCAGUUCGGAUUGCAGGCUGCAACUCGCCUGCAUGAAGUCGGAAUCGCUAGUAAUCGCGGAUCAGCAUGCCGCGGUGAAUACGUUCCCGGGCCUUGCACUCACCGCCCGUCA
RNAcentral lists this ribosomal RNA (1436 nucleotides) under uncultured bacterium. RNAcentral's name for it is "bacterial SSU rRNA". It matches the Rfam family "Bacterial small subunit ribosomal RNA". The record is from RNAcentral.